UCUGUCUCUUUGCCCUUUUUCCUCUUUUCAGCCGCUUCUCUGUUUUUCACGUGAAAACCCUUUUUACCAAAUGGGACCUUUUCUAAUUCCAACUUUUAUUCCAAUAAUAAUAAUAAUAAUAAUAAUCCAAUAAUAAUAAUCCCAAUAAUAUUCCAAUAAUUCCAAUUAUUUAAUUAAAUUAAUAAAUAUAAUAUUAACUUAAAUUAAAUAAUUAUCUUAUUUUUUUAUCGGG
This 232-nucleotide long non-coding RNA is filed under the name Lathyrus oleraceus (garden pea). RNAcentral describes it as "Pisum sativum (pea) long non-coding RNA (PSAT_LNC042390)". The record is from RNAcentral. Lineage: Eukaryota; Viridiplantae; Streptophyta; Magnoliopsida; Fabales; Fabaceae.